CCAAAGAGAAGCUGGAUUUCCUACUGGAGUCAGCUGUAACACACGUGUGACGAAAUUGGGCUGUGAGGACAAGGCAGUGAGCAGAGAGGACAGCAGUCCUUAUGGGAUCAAGCUCUAAGGUAUCCUAGAUACAUUUGGAGAAUUCACCUGAGCUACAGGAUGUGAAAAGUUGCUAAAACUGCUGUGAGAUUCUGGCUAAGAAAGUUUCAUGAGUUUUACAGAAAAAUGUGAAUGGAAGACAGAACUAGAUACAAAUUUGAAUGGUAAUCUAAAUAAAAGGCAUUUUUCAUU
Long non-coding RNA from Mandrillus leucophaeus (drill), 291 nucleotides. RefSeq lists it as uncharacterized. The record is from RefSeq and is a predicted model, not a curated record. NCBI's taxonomy places the organism in Eukaryota, Metazoa, Chordata, Mammalia, Primates, Cercopithecidae. The transcript is spliced from 3 exons.